AGAGUUUGAUCCUGGCUCAGGAUGAACGCUGGCGGCGUGCUUAACACAUGCAAGUCGAGCGAAGCACUUAAGUUUGAUUCUUCGGAUGAAGACUUUUGUGACUGAGCGGCGGACGGGUGAGUAACGCGUGGGUAACCUGCCUCAUACAGGGGGAUAACAGUUAGAAAUGGCUGCUAAUACCGCAUAAGACCACAGUACUGCAUGGUACAGUGGUAAAAACUCCGGUGGUAUGAGAUGGACCCGCGUCUGAUUAGGUAGUUGGUGAGGUAACGGCCCACCAAGCCGACGAUCAGUAGCCGACCUGAGAGGGUGACCGGCCACAUUGGGACUGAGACACGGCCCAAACUCCUACGGGAGGCAGCAGUGGGGAAUAUUGCACAAUGGGGGAAACCCUGAUGCAGCGACGCCGCGUGAGCGAAGAAGUAUUUCGGUAUGUAAAGCUCUAUCAGCAGGGAAGAAAAUGACGGUACCUGACUAAGAAGCCCCGGCUAACUACGUGCCAGCAGCCGCGGUAAUACGUAGGGGGCAAGCGUUAUCCGGAUUUACUGGGUGUAAAGGGAGUGUAGACGGCUUUGCAAGUCUGAUGUGAAAGGCGGGGGCUCAACCCCUGGACUGCAUUGGAAACUGUGAGGCUUGAGUGCCGGAGAGGUAAGCGGAAUUCCUAGUGUAGCGGUGAAAUGCGUAGAUAUUAGGAGGAACACCAGUGGCGAAGGCGGCUUACUGGACGGUAACUGACGUUGAGGCUCGAAAGCGUGGGGAGCAAACAGGAUUAGAUACCCUGGUAGUCCACGCGGUAAACGAUGAAUAAAAGGUGUUGGGUGUCACAGACAUUCGGUGCCGCAGCAAACGCAAUAAGUAUCCCACCUGGGGAGUAGCUUCACA
This 882-nucleotide ribosomal RNA is filed under the name uncultured bacterium. RNAcentral's name for it is "bacterial SSU rRNA". It matches the Rfam family "Bacterial small subunit ribosomal RNA", at positions 8 to 890 of the family's 1533-position model. The record is from RNAcentral.